GAACCACUGAAUACGCGGACGACAUCUCUCCCGCCGCCUCAUCAGCGUCGUCUCCCCCCCCCCCCUUUGUUCUCUCCUCAUGCAAUUUCCAUGCCAUCUUCUCCUGCUGUUUGUCUGCAUGCCGUUGCCACACUGAAAAGCCUCCAGAUGUUCGACAGUCUUUUCUCUCUCGUCUCCUCCUUUGCUUGACACCAUAUUUCCUAAUGUAUCCCCCCCAAUUCACCCUUUUUCAACAGCUUGUUUUUAGCACUCGCAUGUCUGCUUCACUGGCUUUGCAGAAAGUCUUCAACGGGGAGGAUUGCUGUUUUUGGAAUCACUAAUAAACCGUAAAUGGCUCGAUGGUAUCUGUGUCUAACCACGUGUAACUGCUCUAUAAAUGUGCAAUAGACGAGGCCCGCUGUGCGUGUUUGCCAUUCCUAAUGACUUAUACAGUUUAAGAUGAAAGUCUUCCUUCUCUCGUUUCAAAACUCACAUUUCAUUGCUUUCAUUUCCCCCCUGAGUCUCACAAUGGAAAAAGCAAUAAGCUUCUGAAAUGUCUAAUCAAAUCUGAUGCAAUUAAAUGUCAAUGUUCUCUGACGCAGUGUCUUCUUUUCUACAGUGCCAUCGGAAACUGGAACUGAAACACUAGAUUGACACCAUCCAUUUCCCACCCCUUGGACAAGACAAAGCUUCAAAAAGAGGUCCUUACCUGAUGUAUUUUGUGUGUGUUCAGCCGGUCCUCUCUUCCUCUGUCUGCACGGAUCUUUUUACUGACAAGAUCCUAAUGACCAGUCAUAGCCUGUUCUGGAUAUCCGCUGUCCAAUAGGACCCCCCCCCCCCUCGGACACUACAGAAGGUGCUGUCAUCAACCCUUUCUUUGAUCUUCCCCGGGGGGGACUAUAAGGAAGCCAUACAUCUGAGCCAGUGUCGGUCGACCUUCAUCCUUCACCUCUCACACAGCUGUCUAGUGUGUUUACAUUAGUCUGGCCACAAUAUCAGAGCCGAGGCUGAGUUCAAAUUGAGGACACAACGACAAUUACAUGGCUGUGUACUCUCAAAUCUUUUGUACUUCUUUCGCGUUGUCUAAACAGUGAAUGAAAAGAUCCUUUGAAAUGUCAUGUAGAGCUGCUACUAGAGCAUUGCCAUUACUGCUCAUAUUUGAGGGGUCUUUGCGAUGAUGUUUUACUAACUGAUGAGGAGAGCCGUUUGAGACGUAUCACGUGAAACAAACAGGAUUGAGGCCAACUCCAGACGGUUGCCUUUUAGACCUGUUUUACCACAGCAUUUUGACUGGUGUCCACCAUCUUGUUGGAUAUGAGGAAAUACUGUAUCUCAUAUCAGUGUAUAACAGGUAGAAUAUCACAUGAACCUGGACAGAAAUGUCAAGAGACUAAAACAUUCCUUAGUUGAUUAAUUGAUUAACAGUAAAUGCAAAGUAUCCUGUUGCGUAUACUAACACGGUGCGUUAAUAAAGAUAUUUUCCCGGGGCUAUUGUAGUGGUCAAACUUUAAAUUGGAGAACUGCUAUUUGAAGCCAAAUCCUAUUUUUACUGUAGGUCUCAGGUCUUUAGUUGUAUAACAGUUAUGCAUAAUAUAUUGUUUCAGUCUUUUUUGUUGUUGUUAAUCCCACAGUAGCUUUUGGUACCUAUGGAACUAUGGAAGGGGGAAUGUAUUGAAUAGUCAUUUGUAUAUAAGAGAUGUAUUGCUUAAAGUGAUUUAUGACACCCGUGUGGACUAUGC
Long non-coding RNA from Oncorhynchus tshawytscha (Chinook salmon), 1718 nucleotides. Lineage: Eukaryota; Metazoa; Chordata; Actinopteri; Salmoniformes; Salmonidae. The record is from Ensembl.